Long non-coding RNA from Papaver somniferum (opium poppy), 817 nucleotides. RefSeq lists it as uncharacterized. The transcript is spliced from 2 exons. The record is from RefSeq and is a predicted model, not a curated record. NCBI's taxonomy places the organism in Eukaryota, Viridiplantae, Streptophyta, Magnoliopsida, Ranunculales, Papaveraceae.
AGUAUUUUUGAAGUUAAAGCGAAACCCAUAUCUUUAGUCUUAAAGCUAGUUGAAGAUUAGAUUUUCUGGAUGUAGACUUGAUUGAACGAUGUUAUAGGAAGAUGUUUAAGACGUGAAUACUUUGAUGUUAUGGUUGUUUGAGUUCUUGAAAUGUGUUUAUGUAUAUAUAGAGGAGAAUAGAGAUGAUGGAUUAGUAGAAGAGACCAAUAAUUUGGUGAGGUGCCUACCAAAAAGUUAAGGUGGACCGUGGAAAUAAGAAGAAGGAUUUGUAGAUGUGGUGUGCUUCAUAGAGAAUUACGUAUACUAUCACAUGGUUUGGUUCCUCAUACUUAAGAUGAUUGUUUGUUUGUCUUUGCUUGCAGGUUUACAAGAAUUAGUGGUAUUCUUUUACUCACUGUGUUCUUGCUAGGUGUGCAGCAUACAAAGAAAUGUGACCAGUUAUCUACCAUUACGAUAGAUGAGCAACAUGUGCUGGACAAUGGAAUCUGGUUGUUGGAACACACGAUGGCCUAGUUGACUACUACUUCCAAGAAGCUAAGUGUCGGGCUCUAUUUCAUGAGUACCCAGCAAGUAACAUGGGCUCUAAGGAAUUUAAUCACUAACAGGGAUGAAGAUCACUAAGGUUCGGAGAAUGGAGUUGGAGAGAGAAAACAUUUUUUUCUUUUGCGGGGAGUCAUUCUUUCUCUCUUUCAAUAUGCCGAAAAAAUGAAGUCAAUGAGAGUAGUUAAAGAUGGAGAAUAAAUCACUUAAUCAAUUUUCUUUAGAAUUUUCCUUUCUAUACUUCUCAUUAAUUAAUAUCAGUAAUGAAAAAUUAUAU